Molecule: transfer RNA, 73 nt
Filed under: Candidatus Beckwithbacteria bacterium GW2011_GWC1_49_16
Lineage: Bacteria; Candidatus Beckwithiibacteriota
Also listed under: 7 other names
Description: tRNA-Thr
Rfam family: tRNA
About the family: Transfer RNA (tRNA) molecules are approximately 80 nucleotides in length. Their secondary structure includes four short double-helical elements and three loops (D, anti-codon, and T loops).
Source: RNAcentral
GCCUGCGUAGCUCAACCGGUAGAGCAACGGUAUCGUAAACCGUAGGUAGUCGGUUCGAGUCCGACCGCAGGCU